CUCAGUUAUUUCCUGGUCCAUUCUACUGUUCUCCGCUGUGAUUAUAAAGUCUGACGUUUUAGUAGCCGUCUUCUCUGAGGAAUUAAAUGAAAUAAAAAAUAUCUGAAGUAGGAAUUAAAAUAGGAAUAAAUAUUUCCAGAUCUGGAUCUAGGUGUAACAAGAACAAGACUUCAUGCCAGUAAUAUGACAAGAAAACUAAAAGAGAUGUCGGCGAGAGAACAAAACAUAGCUGAAGAAAAAGAAAAGACAGAUGAAGCCAAACCUGAACAGGGUUUGGCUUCAUCAACAAUUAAAAGAGGAAAAGAAAAUGCCUGUGGAUUCAGAAAACAUCUAAAUCUGGAGCAGAAAAACAGUAUGGAAAAAUAUCGACCAAAGUUCUCUCUUGAUCCAGACGGACCUGCAGAGCGUCGCUCUGGUGAAGAAAAAAUCAGAGAUGAGAAAGCUGCAGUUUUUCUCAUCUAACCGGCAGAAUGUUCUUCACAUCACUUUCAGUCGAUGAUUCAGAAUUAGACUGGAAUAUAAAACACUAAUAUUUUCCACUGAAAAUGCUCCGUUUUUAAGUGUUCAUGACUAUAACUGUAACUGUACUGUGUACAUAUUUAAACUGAUUUUUGAUUUAAUACUGUGUACACAGGCAGACAAUGUUAAAUAUGAAACAAUGAGAUCCUCCUAUUUGAGGAUUUUCCUCCUAUUUGAACUAGUUCAUGGUAGCAGCUGCACAAGUUUUACAAGUUCUGUGACUUCAGGCACUUUAUUCUGACAUGCAAAUAAUUUUUCUUUAAACGUGUCAUUUCUUUGCUUCCUUUUAGAAGGUAUUUUUAUGUAAAGAACCUCUCAACUGGUGUCAAGUGUCUCGUUCAAGUGCACAAUGAUCUCUAUUUUUAAGUUGCACGGAGCACAUGAUCAGCAGGGGUUAAAUGUCUGUAUUAUUUGGAUUGUGUUGAACACUUUGUGUAGGUCAUGUAAGUGUCAAAAUGUAUUUACUACAUUAUAUUGCGUGUUUAUACCUGAAAGUGUUCUCAGUCCCAAAUUUAUUCUUAAAUGUCUAAAUGCCCAUGUUUUUUGCAAUGCUCAAUAAAUAUUUAAUUUAGCAGAGA
Molecule: long non-coding RNA, 1097 nt
Organism: Ctenopharyngodon idella (grass carp)
Lineage: Eukaryota; Metazoa; Chordata; Actinopteri; Cypriniformes; Xenocyprididae
Exons: 4
Source: RefSeq, a predicted model, not a curated record